Molecule: ribosomal RNA, 407 nt
Filed under: uncultured bacterium
Lineage: Bacteria
Description: partial 16S ribosomal RNA
Rfam family: Bacterial small subunit ribosomal RNA
Source: RNAcentral
AACGAACGCUGGCGGCGUGCCUAAUACAUGCAAGUAGAACGCAGAUGGGAACGGGGGAGUAACGCGUAGGUAACUGCCCCAUAGCGGGGGGUAACUAUCGGGAACGAGAGCUAAUACCGGAAUCUGUGAGAUUGACCUGCGUUGUAUUAGCUAGUUGGUGCGGUAAAGGCUCACCAAGGCGACGAUACAUAGCCGGCCUGAGAGGGUGAGCGGCCACACUGGGACUGAGACACGGCCCAGACUCCGUCGGGAGGCAGCAGUAGGGAAUCUUCGGCAAUGGAAGGAAGUCUGACCGAGCAACGCCGCGUGAGUGAAGAGGGUCUUCGGGUUGUAAAGCUCUGUUGGUAGAGAAGCGGUAACUAACAAGAAAGCGACGGCUAACUACGUGCCAGCAGCCGCGGUAAUAC